This 250-nucleotide ribosomal RNA is filed under the name uncultured bacterium. RNAcentral's name for it is "partial 16S ribosomal RNA". It matches the Rfam family "Bacterial small subunit ribosomal RNA", at positions 63 to 339 of the family's 1533-position model. The record is from RNAcentral.
CUAGGGGGUGUAGCAAUACAUCACCGGCGGACGGGUGCGUAACGCGUGGGAAUGUACCUAUUGGUUCGGAACAACUGCGGGAAACUGCAGCUAAUACCGAAUGUGCCCGAAAGGGGAAAGAUUUAUCGCCAAUGGAUCAGCCCGCGUCGAAUUAGCUUGUUGGUGAGGUAAUGGCUCACCAAGGCGACGAUUCGUAGCUGGUCUGAGAGGACGACCAGCAUCACUGGGACUGAGACACGGCCCAGACUCC